GACGAACGCUGGCGGCGUGCUUAACACAUGCAAGUCGAACGGAAAAGGGCUGCUUUUGCCGGGUGUCCGCGUGGGGAAAGGGAGUGUAACACAGGAGUAUCCUGCGCAUGAUUUUGUAAUAUCCUCAGAAAACUGCGGCUAACACAGGCGAGCUGCUGGAGCUGCCUGGUGGGGGUCGGAAAGUAUCGGUGGAUGUGGAUGGAGUUGGGGGUAAUCAGUUUGUGGGUUGGGGAGUGGCUUACGAAGUCUUUGACGGGUAGCCGGCAUGAGAGGGUGACCGGGCACAUUGGUACUGAGGUACGGCCCAGAGUCCUACGGGAGGCAGCAGUGGGGAGUAUUGCACAAUGGACGGAAGCCUGAUGCAGCAACGCCGCGUGCGGGAUGACGGCCUUCGGGUGGUGAACCGCAUUCGCCUGUGACGAAGCGUGAGUGACGUUAAUGGGUAAAGAAGCACCGGCUAACUACGUG
Molecule: ribosomal RNA, 468 nt
Filed under: uncultured bacterium
Lineage: Bacteria
Description: partial 16S ribosomal RNA
Rfam family: Bacterial small subunit ribosomal RNA
Source: RNAcentral